UAGGAAAAAUGAAAAUAAUAGAAGCUGCUAACUAUCUAUAUAAGCGGUUAAAUUCCGUUAAUUCCUUA
This 68-nucleotide transfer RNA is filed under the name Phymatostetha signifera. RNAcentral describes it as "tRNA-Ser". Lineage: Eukaryota; Metazoa; Arthropoda; Insecta; Hemiptera; Cercopidae. The record is from RNAcentral.